AUUUGGCGGACGGGUGAGUAAUGUAUCGGAACGUGCCCAGUAGCGGGGGAUAACUACGCGAAAGCGUAGCUAAUACCGCAUACGCCCUACGGGGGAAAGCAGGGGAUCGCAAGACCUUGCACUAUUGGAGCGGCCGAUAUCGGAUUAGCUAGUUGGUGGGGUAACGGCUCACCAAGGCGACGAUCCGUAGCUGGUUUGAGAGGACGACCAGCCACACUGGGACUGAGACACGGCCCAGACUCCUACGGGAGGCAGCAGUGGGGAAUUUUGGACAAUGGGGGAAACCCUGAUCCAGCCAUCCCGCGUGUGCGAUGAAGGCCUUCGGGUUGUAAAGCACUUUUGGCAGGAAAGAAACGUCGCGGGUUAAUACCCCGCGAAACUGACGGUACCUGCAGAAUAAGCACCGGCUAACUACGUGCCAGCAGCCGCGGUAAUAAU
RNAcentral lists this ribosomal RNA (438 nucleotides) under uncultured Achromobacter sp. RNAcentral's name for it is "bacterial SSU rRNA". It matches the Rfam family "Bacterial small subunit ribosomal RNA", at positions 93 to 526 of the family's 1533-position model. The record is from RNAcentral. Lineage: Bacteria; Pseudomonadati; Pseudomonadota; Betaproteobacteria; Burkholderiales; Alcaligenaceae.